Molecule: ribosomal RNA, 253 nt
Filed under: uncultured bacterium
Lineage: Bacteria
Description: partial 16S ribosomal RNA
Rfam family: Bacterial small subunit ribosomal RNA
Source: RNAcentral
UACAGAGGUGGCAAGCGUUGUUCGGAAUUACUGGGCGUAAAGGGCGCGUAGGCGGCCAUCUAAGUCAGACGUGAAAUCCCCCGGCUUAACCUGGGAACUGCGUCCGAUACUGGACGGCUCGAGUUUGGGAGAGGGAUGCAGAAUUCCAGGUGUAGCGGUGAAAUGCGUAGAUAUCUGGAGGAAUACCGGUGGCGAAGGCGGCAUCCUGGACUAAUACUGACGCUGAGGCGCGAAAGCUAGGGGAGCAAACGGG